GAUGAACGCUGGCGGCGUGCCUAAUACAUGCAAGUCGAGCGAACAGAUAAGGAGCUUGCUCCUUUGACGUUAGCGGCGGACGGGUGAGUAACACGUGGAUAACCUACCUAUAAGACUGGGAUAACUUCGGGAAACCGGAGCUAAUACCGGAUAACGUAUUGAACCGCAUGGUUCAAUAGUGAAAGGCGGCUUUGCUGUCACUUAUAGAUGGAUCCGCGCCGUAUUAGCUAGUUGGUAAGGUAACGGCUUACCAAGGCAACGAUACGUAGCCGACCUGAGAGGGUGAUCGGCCACACUGGAACUGAGACACGGUCCAGACUCCUACGGGAGGCAGCAGUAGGGAAUCUUCCGCAAUGGGCGAAAGCCUGACGGAGCAACGCCGCGUGAGUGAUGAAGGUCUUCGGAUCGUAGAACUCUGUUAUCAGGGAAGAACAAAUGUGUAAGUAACUGUGCACAUCUUGACGGUACCUGAUCAGAAAGCCACGCCUAACUACGUGCCAGCAGCCGCGGUGAUACGUAGGUGGCAAGCGUUAUCCGGAAUUAUUGGGCGCAAAGCGCGCGUAGGCGGUUUUUUAAGUCUGAUGUGAAAGCCCACGGCUCAACCGUGGAGGGUCAUUGGAAACUGGAAAACUUGAGUGCAGAAGAGGAAAGUGGAAUUCCAUGUGUAGCGGUGAAAUGCGCAGAGAUAUGGAGGAACACCAGUGGCGAAGGCGACUUUCUGGUCUGUAACUGACGCUGAUGUGCGAAAGCGUGGGGAUCAAACAGGAUUAGAUACCCUGGUAGUCCACGCCGUAAACGAUGAGUGCUAAGUGUUAGGGGGUUUCCGCCCCUUAGUGCUGCAGCUAACGCAUUAAGCACUCCGCCUGGGGAGUACGACCGCAAGGUUGAAACUCAAAGGAAUUGACGGGGACCCGCACAAGCGGUGGAGCAUGUGGUUUAAUUCGAAGCAACGCGAAGAACCUUACCAAAUCUUGGCAUCCUUUGACUGCUCUAGAGAUAGAGUCUUCCCCUUCGGGGGACAAAGUGACAGGUGGUGCAUGGUUGUCGUCAGCUCGUGUCGUGAGAUGUUGGGUUAAGUCCCGCAACGAGCGCAACCCUUAAGCUUAGUUGCCAUCAUUAAGUUGGGCACUCUAAGUUGACUGCCGGUGACAAACCGGAGGAAGGUGGGAUGACGUCAAAUCAUCAUGCCCCUUAUGAUUUGGGCUACGCACGUGCUACAAUGGACAAUACAAAGGGCAGCUAAACCGCGAGGUCAAGCAAAUCCCAUAAAGUUGUUCUCAGUUCGGAUUGUAGUCUGCAACUCGACUACAUGAAGCUGGAAUCGCUAGUAAUCGUAGAUCAGCAUGCUACGGUGAAUACGUUCCCGGGUCU
This 1371-nucleotide ribosomal RNA is filed under the name uncultured bacterium. Its description in RNAcentral is "bacterial SSU rRNA". It matches the Rfam family "Bacterial small subunit ribosomal RNA", at positions 28 to 1381 of the family's 1533-position model. The record is from RNAcentral.